ACAGAAAUAGUAAGCAAAUUCAGAUCAUAUGACAACAUGUUGAAGCAAUAGAACCCCUGUGCUCGGAUUCUAGCUACAGCAAGCAUGAAGGCCUUGUUCGUUGACUUCAGAGGCUAACCACAGCGAAGCAAUCACGUUCUUAGGGAGGACUUCAUGGAGGUGAAGAACAUAUAUACUACUUGUCCAGGUUCUUCUUUUUCAGAGAUUAAGAAGACCAUGGUCAACAAACUGAAGUAUCAUCUUAAUUGUUUUAAGAAAUGUUUGUGAAGUUCUCUGCUAUUUUCAGAUUCUGGUAAUUCAACAACAGCUGGCAGACCACACUAUUAAAGAAGAGUUUUCCAGGGCUGAAAGAACGGUCCAGCAAUUAAGAACACUGGGUUCAAUUCCCAGUUCCUACGUGGAGCUCACAACCAUCUGUAACUACGAUUCCAGGGCAUCUAACACCUUCUUCUGACAUAUGUGGGCACCACGGACAUGCAUGCAUGCAGACAAAGCAUUCACACACAUACAACAAAUUUAAUAAUUCUUUUUAAAAGAUUUAAAGAUUGAAUCUGGCAUGGUGGCAUACACCUUUAACCUGGCACUUGGGAAGCAGAGGCUUUGUGAGUUCAAAGCCAGCCUGCUCUACAAAGCGAGCCAGGACAGCCAGGGCUACACAGAGAAAACUUGUCUCAAAAACACACAAAAAAAAUUUAAAAGAAUAUUUGCUAAUGGAACUGGUAGUAGACCUUAUUGUUGUUAGUUUUAUGACCUGUUACUGUGUUGUAUAAGAAA
This is a long non-coding RNA of Apodemus sylvaticus (European woodmouse), 774 nucleotides long. RefSeq lists it as uncharacterized. The record is from RefSeq and is a predicted model, not a curated record. The transcript has 3 exons. Lineage: Eukaryota; Metazoa; Chordata; Mammalia; Rodentia; Muridae.